ANAAAAUAAAUAAAAUUACAAUUUUUAUGGUAAUAUCUAAAGUUGACAAUUCAAACAUAAUGAUGAAAACGUAAAUGCUGUUCUUUAAAUUCUUAUAAAUACGUCGAUUAUGCAUAUCACUAUUUGUAUGAGAUUUUAAUGCAUGAUUGUAUUGACAUUUGACACCUAUGAAGUAUGACCCCAACACGUUUCGUCACCAGGUAUGAUAUUUCUGUCCCUCACAUGACUCACAUGGCAGUUGGACCGACGCCAAUUACUCAGUACUCCCCAUUCUAGAAUACUCGCAUGCCACAUUUAGAAAUUAUUUUUGGCCC
This 314-nucleotide long non-coding RNA is filed under the name Salvia miltiorrhiza (redroot sage). Its description in RNAcentral is "long non-coding RNA (SMIL_LNC009843)". The record is from RNAcentral. Lineage: Eukaryota; Viridiplantae; Streptophyta; Magnoliopsida; Lamiales; Lamiaceae.